GGCCAAUCUUUAUGGCGGUUUUGUUUGUUUUUAUGUUUUUGUUUUUAUUACAAGCGAUAGUCUAAAUUAUAGGGAAAGGAGUUUCGAACCUAAGACCCAAAUGUAAGUAGUAAAAACAACAAAUAGAUAGCUAGCUAGUCUACAUGGGAAUUAAAUUAAGUAAAAGAUUCAAAAUAAAUUUCUGGAAAACAUAAGAUUAUUAACUGUUAUUAAGUUUAAU
RNAcentral lists this long non-coding RNA (220 nucleotides) under Prunus dulcis (almond). Its description in RNAcentral is "sRNA ncRNA". The record is from RNAcentral. Lineage: Eukaryota; Viridiplantae; Streptophyta; Magnoliopsida; Rosales; Rosaceae.